AACAGAAAACAGAUUAAAACAGAUCAUUUAAAGCUCUGACUCGUCAUGAGCCUUUUGGAUCCAAGCAUAAAAACUAGUAGACAGGUACAGUAUAUCUAACAGGUGUUCUCUCUCAGUAGACAGGUACAGUAUAUCUAACAGGUGGUCUCUCUCAGUAGACAGGUACAGUAUAUCUAACAGGUGGUCUCUCUCAGUAGACAGGUACAGUAUAUCUAACAGGUGUUCUCUCUCAGUAGACAGGUACAGUAUAUCUAACAGGUGUUCUCUCUCAGUAGACAGGUACAGUAUAUCUAACAGGUGUUCUCUCUCAGUAGACAGGUACAGUAUAUCUAACAGGUGUUCUCUCUCAGUAGACAGGUACAGUAUAUCUAACAGGUGUUCUCUCUCAGUAGACAGGUACAGUAUAUCUAACAGGUGUUCUCUCUCAGUAGACAGGUACAGUAUAUCUAACAGGUGGUCUCUCUCUCAGUAGACAGGUACAGUAUAUCUAACAGGUGUUCUCUCUCAGUAGACAGGUACAGUAUAUCUAACAGGUGGUCUCUCUCUCAGUAGACAGGUACAGUAUAUCUUACCUGGAGUCAGUACUAGGGGUCGGACUGUCAAUAUCUCUGUUGAAAUAAUAUCAUUAUAU
This is a long non-coding RNA of Oncorhynchus keta (chum salmon), 631 nucleotides long. RefSeq lists it as uncharacterized. The transcript is spliced from 3 exons. Lineage: Eukaryota; Metazoa; Chordata; Actinopteri; Salmoniformes; Salmonidae. The record is from RefSeq and is a predicted model, not a curated record.